AUUGAACGCUGGCGGCAGGCCUAACACAUGCAAGUCGAACGAGUGGCGGACGGGUGAGUAAUGUCUGGGAAACUGCCUGAUGGAGGGGGAUAACUACUGUAAACGGUAGCUAAUACCGCAUACCAUCGGAUGUGCCCAGAUGGGAUUAGCUAGGAGGUGGGGUAAAGGCUCACCUAGGCGACGAUCCCUAGCUGGUCUGAGAGGAUGACGAGCCGCACUUGAACUGAGACCCGUUCCAGACUCCUACGGGAGGCAGCAGUGGGGAAUAUUUCACAAUGGGCGCUAGCCUGAUGCAGCCAUGCCGCGGGUAUGAAGAAGGCUUUCGGGUUGUAAAGUACUUUCAGCGAGGAGGCGUUACCCGCAGAAGAAGCACCGGCUAACUCCGUGCCAGCAGCCGCGGUAAUAC
RNAcentral lists this ribosomal RNA (406 nucleotides) under uncultured bacterium. RNAcentral's name for it is "partial 16S ribosomal RNA". It matches the Rfam family "Bacterial small subunit ribosomal RNA", at positions 30 to 526 of the family's 1533-position model. The record is from RNAcentral.